This is a long non-coding RNA of Papaver somniferum (opium poppy), 1333 nucleotides long. RefSeq lists it as uncharacterized. The record is from RefSeq and is a predicted model, not a curated record. Lineage: Eukaryota; Viridiplantae; Streptophyta; Magnoliopsida; Ranunculales; Papaveraceae. The transcript is spliced from 5 exons.
AAUACAUGAGAGGAAAAAACCCUAAAACCAAGAGAUUGUUUUCUUGUCUUUUUGUUCUUCAUUGUUCCUUGAUAUGUUCUGAUUGUUUUUUUUUGUUAUUUUUUUCUGUUUUUGUUUCUGAUCGAUCAUGUGUUCGGAUUAUUCAAUAUAGAGACGAGAUGAAUAGACAAAUCCAUGUAUUGGUAAACCCUAACGACUACCGGUUUCUGAUUUUUACUUUUCCUUGAUUUUCACUAAAAAGAAACAGUUUACCCUAAAACACUCGUCACCUUUUCAUAUUCGCCUUUUUUCUUAAGAAAAAAAAUUAAACCUAGAAAAUCACAUGUUGCCUCCGUUCUCACUGUUCGUCCUCCUUUUCUUUCUGAUGAGUUCACUGUUCUUCCUCCCUUCUUCCUAAUGCGAGAGCAGAUGGUUUUAUUAUUCAGCAAUCAAAAAUCUGCGAGGAUUUUGGAUAUAUACAUUGUACUGCGAGUAUUUCUCAUUGAGGCAGCACUCUGAACAUGCGAAAGACACCUCUGUAAUUUGUUAUUCAACUGAGUUUAGCGCUCCUGUAUGUGGAUGACAAAUAUAUCUGGCAUCUUUGGGUUCGGAAGCAUGUAUCUGAGUACCUCCUCAAAUCAAAUUCAAACUUGGUUUCGUAAUUUCAUUACCUCUAACGGGAGUUACUGCAACGAUCAUUCCAAUCCUGCGUGAUGUGGAGUUUUUAAUGAGCUUUCAGUGUCAGUUCCUGACUAAAGGAUUAACUAACUAUCUUUGUUUUGGAGGGAACCGUUAAGCGUGGUUGUUCUAUCAGUGGGGAACAAUAAGUGUGUGUUAAAAGAAUGGGAACCAUGCCAGUCACUAUUGGCUGUUGAUUGAUCAGGAGGAGAAGCUGUUGUUAUCACCGUAGUCAGGAUUGUGUUUCCACACACGGAAACAGAAAAUGAAUGAUGAGCAGUGAUGGUUGACUGAGCUAUGGUCGGAGAUCAUCAUAACGAUGAUGCAGCGGUGGAGCUGGGGUAAUUACCAGCUGAAGAGUUCAAACCUGUUGUCACUGUGAUAUUGUAGUUUCUUAUUGUCUCUUCCAGCAGGUAAAUUAACCCACCAUUCAAGAGUGGUCCUAUAUGAUAGAGACAUGCUAUACUUGGAGCAGAGGGUGUAAUGCAGCCAAACCUUGGCCAGGAUGGUUGUAUGGUAAUCAAGGCAAGUGUUAUGUAAUUAGUAAUAAAUAUUUUUUGUAAAUUGUUCUACAUAAGGUAUUAUGAUCAGUAUAUGUUUCUCAGAGAUCUCUUUCAAAUUCAAAUAGUAACUAAAACAUGUAUAGUACUGUUAAAGCCUUCUAACAGUUUUAUGA